UGGGGAAUUAGCUCAGUUGGUAGAGCGCUGCGAUCGCACCGCAGAGGCCAUCGGUUCAAAUCCGUUAUUCUCCAU
This 75-nucleotide transfer RNA is filed under the name Nostoc commune HK-02. Its description in RNAcentral is "tRNA-Ala". It matches the Rfam family "tRNA". From Rfam's summary of the family: Transfer RNA (tRNA) molecules are approximately 80 nucleotides in length. Their secondary structure includes four short double-helical elements and three loops (D, anti-codon, and T loops). Lineage: Bacteria; Bacillati; Cyanobacteriota; Cyanophyceae; Nostocales; Nostocaceae. RNAcentral also lists the same sequence under 1 other name. The record is from RNAcentral.